This 744-nucleotide ribosomal RNA is filed under the name Teratosphaeria destructans. RNAcentral's name for it is "eukaryotic LSU rRNA". It matches the Rfam family "Eukaryotic large subunit ribosomal RNA", at positions 95 to 871 of the family's 3401-position model. The record is from RNAcentral. Lineage: Eukaryota; Fungi; Ascomycota; Dothideomycetes; Mycosphaerellales; Teratosphaeriaceae.
GAAGCGGCAACAGCUCAAAUUUGAAAUCUGGCGCAAGCCCGAGUUGUAAUUUGUAGAGGAUGCUUCAGGGCAGCGGCCGGUCUAAGUUCCUUGGAACAGGACGUCGUAGAGGGUGAGAAUCCCGUAUGCGACCGGUUGGCACCCGUCACGUAGCUCCUUCGACGAGUCGAGUUGUUUGGGAAUGCAGCUCUAAAUGGGAGGUAAAUUUCUUCUAAAGCUAAAUACCGGCCAGAGACCGAUAGCGCACAAGUAGAGUGAUCGAAAGAUGAAAAGCACUUUGGAAAGAGAGUUAAAAAGCACGUGAAAUUGUUGAAAGGGAAGCGCAUGCCACCAGACUUGUCGGCGGUGUUCCGCCGGUCUUCUGACCGGUCCACUCGCCGCCGGCAGGCCAGCAUCAUCUGGGCGCGCCGGACAAAGGCGUGGGGAAUGUAGCUCCUCGGAGUGUUAUAGCCCCGCGCACAAUACGGCGCCGCCCGGGUGAGGUCCGCGCUUCGGCUAGGAUGCUGGCGUAAUGGUGGCCUGCGGCCCGUCUUGAAACACGGACCAAGGAGUCUAACAUCUAUGCGAGUGUUUGGGUGUCAAACCCCGGCGCGGAAUGAAAGUGAACGGAGGUGGGAAGCGCAAGCUGCACCAUCGACCGAUCCUGAUGUCUUCGGAUGGAUUUGAGUAAGAGCAUAGCUGUUGGGACCCGAAAGAUGGUGAACUAUGCCUGAAUAGGGUGAAGCCAGAGGAAACUCUGGUGGA